Molecule: long non-coding RNA, 511 nt
Filed under: Anser cygnoides (Swan goose)
Lineage: Eukaryota; Metazoa; Chordata; Aves; Anseriformes; Anatidae
Description: lncRNA (ENSACDG00005011599.1)
Source: RNAcentral
CAUAAAGCUAGGAGGGGUAGAUACAAAGGGCUCCAGAACCUGAGCAGCACAGCUCUUUCCAAUGCACUGCUGAUUAAGGCAGCUAUAAGAGUGAGGGUUUUGGGCCUUGUAGGUUUUCUCUGGUUUGCAAGCAGAGGGGUUACUAUAGUCCUUGUGUGAGGCAUUUAGUGCUAUCAAGUGGCAGUGAACCAGGGCUUUGAGAAAGAAGAAACAGAAGAUGAUGGCAAAUUAACAAAGCAGGGGAGGAGUAUUUCUAGACCAAAGAAGGCUGAACUAGGUUUGAAAGGGCAAUGAUGAGAAUCCACAGGCUCCUUCCAGUUGCUGCCGUAGAUGACAGCUGAUCGUCCCAAGAGGCAACAGUGGUUGGUAGGGUUUGGGCAAAGCUACUAUGCCUUCAGACAGCCUGUGGAGAGCAGCUCUGGACAUUUGCUGCUGGGAGACCUGGUCUGGCAGAUCUUUUGGCAUCCAAGUGUUGCUCUUUGCUUUCACUUCCCACUAGUUUCCUUCUGUU